Musa acuminata AAA Group (dessert banana) is the source of this 5186-nucleotide RNA transcript. It is a transcript of the gene named protein MAIN-LIKE 2-like, with no coding region annotated. The transcript has 3 exons. NCBI's taxonomy places the organism in Eukaryota, Viridiplantae, Streptophyta, Magnoliopsida, Zingiberales, Musaceae. The record is from RefSeq and is a predicted model, not a curated record.
AUAAAGUAGAUUUGUUGUGGAGAUCUCGAAAGGCGCAAAGCACAGUGAGGUGCAAAGAUUAUGUAUCUCCUUAUCACGACAACCGUGACAGCGAAGAUCGAAACGCCUCCGCACGGCAAGUGGCGAUCUCCGCAACCCUCCCAACGACCAAAGUUGGUCACCAGCAGAACUCUUCGGCUCCACUAAAACCCACCCCCUCAUCUCCCUAAAACCCUCUCCACCCCCCACUUCGCAAUCCCUUUAGAUCUCUUCUUCUUCCCUUCAGAUCCGCUUGUUGUCGUUCGAUGGAUGAACAGCAGGAGGAAGAGAUCUUCUUGGUGGUAGAAAGAGAGGCGGAGAUGGUCUCCUCGUCCGAUCCCCUGAUUCCGAUCAAGAGAGUCGCUUGGUUUCUUGAUGCCAAUCCCGUCCCCGUCGAAGAGCUCCCCCGGUAUCCCUUCGCUCCGAUGAUGCAUGUAAAUGCCUCCCCCGUUCAUCCCCGGGAGUCCAAGGUGCUGUUCAGAGGAUGGGGCAGCCCUUUGCGCAAGUGGGGGGAGUGGGUCGAUAAGCUUCGGCCCAUCUAUGGGGAUCUUUGGAACAAGUCCGGCAUCUUGGAUGCCAUUGGCGUGUCUACUUACAAGAUCAAGAAAGACUACGCGUCCGUUUUGGGGCUGGCUGGGGUUUGGUGCGGAGAGACCAACACGUUUCUCUUCCCUUGGGGGGAGGCCACUGUUACAUUAGAAGACACGAUGGUUCUAGGUGGAUUUCCGGUGCUCGGUGAGCCUGUCAGGGGUUCUUUGACCGGGGAGCUUGUGGAGAUCGAACAGAAGAUGGUGAAGGAGCAUCGGACGUUUAACCGAAGCACCAGCAAGAAAGCAGAUCAAAGUGCGUGGAUGAAACAUUACAUGGAGCGUGAGGGCGAUGAAUUGGAGCACAUUGCAUUCUUGGCUUUGUGGUUGUCGCGGUUCGUUUUUCCUGGCCCCCCUGUUAAGACCGUGAAGCAGCACUUGCUUCCUAUUGCUGUUCGUUUGGGACGAGGAAUGAGGAUUGCCCUUGCAUCUGCGGUCCUGGCUAGCUUGUACCGUGACAUGUCGGCCAUCAAGGAUUACCUUGUUGCUGAUGAUAGUAAAAAAACUGAACCUUUGGUUGUAUGGGCACCUUUCAAUUUGCUACAGCUUUGGGUGUGGGAGCAUUUCUUGACUUUGAGGCCAGAGAAGCAAAAUUUGAUUGCUAAUGGUGAGCCAAGAGCGGCACGGUGGCAUGAUGUGGGUAGAAAAUUGGACCUCUCCUUUGUUGGUUCGGCUUUGGAGUCAUCUGAAUUUCAGUGGCACCCGUAUAUGGCUAGGUUGGAGAAUUGGAGCAGGCCCUCUUUCUAUAAGGAUAUUGGUGUGUGGAUUUGUGGUGAUGCAUCCAAGGAUGAAGAGUUGCGAUCAUUUGCACAGUGCUUGAGGGCUGCUGAGCUUGUAGGAGUAGACUGUAUCGAACAGUAUUUGCCUCACCGUGUGGCAAUGCAGUUUGGAUUUGAUCAGGACUUGCCCUGCCAUGUUCCUCGUUCGAAUGCAAUGUGGGAAGCUGCAUGGGAGACUUAUGAUAUUACUUCGAAAAAUAUUGCAUUUUACGUCCCGGCACCACCUUUUAAGUCUGAUAUCACACAGCAGUACUCGAUUUGGUGGAAACAAUGCAUGCCUUAUUAUAGUAAGUUAGUGGAAAAUGAUACACAAACACAAGGUUCCUUGGAAAAUAUCAAGUGGCAGAGCAAGGUAGUGGCAGAAAAAAACAUGAAGAGAAUCCAAACUUUGACAAGCAUAAAGAAGAGAAAAUUGCAAGAGUUCUAUGAUGCCAUGAUUUCUGAUCAUCUUCUUUCUGGAAACAAUUCUGUUUCUGGUGAUGAUGACAGUGUAGAAUCACAGAACUUUCAACUGAGUGCUGCUGAGACAGAAAAGCAGCAUAUUUGUUCCAUGAAGCAAAAGGAACAUAUGGGCCUGAAACCUUCUAACAAUUGUGUAGGGAAAGAAACACACGAUCCGGUGGCUUCUCAAUCUAUCAAAUCAGAAAUAUGUGAAGCUACUAUAAGUACUUCAUUGGAGAAUGAGUACAAGGUAAUGAUGGAAGAUUUUGAUCAAAGAAAUGGUUGGGGAUCUGCUUAUGACUAUGUAGUCCUUAGGCAACCUGGAAUGAAUAUUACUUCACAAGAGGCAAAACUGAAAUUGGAACAAGCAUUGGAGAAACGCAUUAUGAUGAAAGCAGAGGAAUCAGAACUUGAAAUGCAGAUUAAAGUUCUAAAGGAAGAAAUUACUGCGAUUGAGGCCAGAGUAAUGGACUUAGAAUCUGUUGCUGAGGCGUAAGCAUGUUUUGAUGGCUGAUGUGAUGAUAGUGUGAGAUGAUCGGAACUCGGAAAAGUCAGGCUAAGACGAUCCCGAGGUGCUGGUUGGACUCCCGAGGUGAGUUCAGAGUCGAGCUGAGGUGGUCCUGGCCUCUUUGGGAUUCUGGAGAUGAGUCGAGAUGUGCUUUAGCUUCGUCGGGGAUCCUGCACAAGUGGUCAGCAUCAAGGGAGAGUUUCGGACCGACUCCUCUAAUUGUAAAGUUAGUAUGAGUGGGAGUGUGAAUAGUAGAAGUUUUGAGUUUGGUCUCCUCUUUAGAUCUUGGGGAUCAGCUUUUAUACUUGGGCAAUCGGUGAAAGGUAAUCAAUGGCUGACAGGGAUGGGCUCGUACACUCUCAUGGGGCUCAUUCAUGCAGACAGUCAAAUUGUAUGGGCUCGUACACUCUCAUGGGGCUCAUUCAUGCAGACAGUCAAAUUGUAUGAUUCACUGUGAUGUGUCGUCAGCGAAGGAGAAUUACAGAGGUGUCGCUUGACAGCGUUGACGGUCGACUGUGCCAGUCGGUCGAGGAAGGGGCAGAAGAUUGCUACCCUGCCUUUUGCCUCUGUGAAAGAGGAUAAAGAUGUUUCUCUGCCCACGUCAGCGUUCAAGCGGUAGUGAGUUGGCAGGCCAAGCGGCAAGUCGACGCUAAUACUAGCAUGUUCUCUAUCAAGCUUCAUACCCUUCGAUAUUUGUUUUCAGUUGAUCUAGGCUGCUGCAGGUUAUCAGUAAUGCUUCUCGUUGCCCAUUUUCCCUUCUGCCUUGGAAGAAAAGGUUUGGUUAUGGUUACGUCCAAGUUGUUUAAAUGUCAAUGACGUAAUUCACCGUAAUUUUGACUGGGCUAGGAAAAAUCUGAACUCGAGUCCGGUUAGACCGGUCAAGAUUGAAGACGUGCGGGUUCGGACGCGUUCAGUCCCAAACCGAGUCUGUCGUUUCACUUGACAACGAAGUGUUGUUCCCAUUCCCCCUACUACGCUGCUCCAACCACCCUCGAUCUCGGAACCCAAAUGGCGUCGGCUUCGUUGCUCAAGGGGCGCAUCUACCUCUUCGGCCUGCUUCCCUCCCCGUUCACCAAACAACGACGGCCGCCCUCCUGCUACUCCACCGCGGCCAUUUCCUCUUCUUCUCCUGACCCCUUCGCUGUGAACUUCCUCAUCGACCACUGCAACCUCCCCCUGUCCGUCGCUGUCGCUGCCGCUCGUUCCCUGCUCAUCACCGAGCCUUCCACCGAGUUGCACCUGACCGUCCUCCCUCUCUUCUGAUCCUACGGCCUCUCCUCCUCUCAAAUUGGCCGCGUCGUCGCCUAUUACCCCGCUAUUCUACUCUCCCGGCCAAAUCGCACCCUCGUUCCCAAGCUCCGCUUCCUCUCCUCCUUCCUCCCGCCCACUCACCUCCCUGAUCUCGUCGCCAGCAGCCCUAGCCUCCUCUUCCGCAACCUUACGCGCCAGAUCGAGCCCCUCUUUCCUUCAUACGCUGCUUCCUCGACUCACCCGACGCCCUUCUCCUAGCCGCCCCCGGUCUCGUCACCUGCAGACUCGCUGAUACCGCCACCCCCAAUAUCAGCUUCCUCCUUUCCCGUGGCGUCCCCUCCGGCAGCAUCGCCAAGCUCCUCUGCGCCCAUCCGCGUUCCAUUGCCCUGCCGGCUGCUCGCUUUGCCGAAACUGUCUGCAUGGUUGAAGCUCUAGGCCUUCGCCCUGAUACGUCCAUGUUUGUCUACGCCAUCAGUGUCAUGAAUGGUAUGUGGCGGUCGACAUGGGAGGUCAAGCUAAAGGUCUUUCGGAGGCUCGGGUGGUCAGAAGAUGAGUUCCGGAUUGCCUUCCAGAGGGGCCCCGCUGUUUGUGCUGGUGUCGGAACCAAAGAUGCGGAAGAUGGUGCAAUUCUUGAUGGAGGAGGUCAAGUUGAAGGGGUCCAACUUGAGCCGAGAGCCAAGGUUGCUGAUGUACAGCCUGGAGAAUAGGCUCUUGCCAAGGUUCAGUGUGUUCCGCAUGAUGGAAGCCAAAGGACUGGUCACGGAUGGUAGUGAGAGAAAGAGGACUAGCUUGGUGAUUGGGAUGUUCACAUGCAGUGUCCGAACGUUCUUGGAGAAGUAUGUGCGAAGGUACCGUGAGGUGGCUCCUGAGUUAAUGGAUGUAUACAAUGGUAGGGUGCAUUAGAAAAAUGCCAAAGGGCAGCAUGGAGGCAUUUUAAGAUGUUUCAUCUGAAAUUUACAUAUCUUGAUGUGCGGUUAUCACGCACCAGAAAGAACAGUCAGAAGAAUUGGGGAAUGGUAUUCUUCCUUGUGAUCACGAGGAUAAGUUGCAUAGGAGACAUGACUGUACUUGGGGUAUUUGGCAAGGAAGAAAAAUUAUUCGAGUGAACGAUCAGCUUAUCGCAAGAGGAAGUCUUUUGUCGCUGACAUUAUGGAUACUUGAUGUUAGCUACACAUCAGCUUUCUGGCAAUGCUACUGGUGGCAGGAUCUUUUGUGUUUUACUCUCUGAUGAUGGAUCCGCCCAAACAUGCAUCAGUAUCUUGGUGAAGUGUAUGACCCUAACAAUGGUACAACUACAACCAAUUGUGUUUCUUCCAUGAAACUUGAGUUUGUCUCAUUGUUCAUGUGGGUUUCUGCAUCGUAUCAGAGUGCGGAUAAAAUUUAGCAUCUGACCUUUCACAAUAUCUUUCAGUUUUAGGGAUGUGAUUGGAAUUGUCCUCUGCAAGUUCUGCUUCCUUCUUGGUAUUAUAUCAAAAUGUGGCAGGUCCAGAACACAAAACACUUUUCUUUGGAUGUUCAACUAUAUAUUGCAUCUUUGAGUUUUGAUUGAGAUCUUGGAUAUGGAUGAUUUGCAUAAAGAAGCAAUAUAUACUUGAGUUGUAU